GCAGGCUUCGGCGUUGGUCCUCGCCACCAGGAAAGCACGCUGUCGAGCGUUGUUCUCCCCGUCGUCGGAACCAUGCACUUGAAGAAGCCUUCCAAGGACAGGGUGCUACUGCCGGAGCAUGGUCGACCCGAUGAACCUCAGCUCAGUCCACAAAGGCAAGACUCGCAGCACGAGACACCGGACCAGGCCCUCCUGGUACCACACCGGAGCUGCUCGCCACCGUUGCUGUGCUAGACCUCUACGACUUGUUCACUGCGUCACAUACGCAAAGUAUGCGUGCGUUCCUGAAUUGAGGCGGGAAACUCUUUUCCUUCUCGUAGAUCUUUCCUACUCAAAGACGAGCUGCCAGGGAAACGCAGGUAGACGUCGAUCCGCAGGCAGCGCGCAAGCUGUGAACCACCACCAUCACCACAAAGAAGCACAGAACGAGCUCGAGCGGCGUGGAGUCGAAUAGCGGAACGCUGCACGUUGCAGUGCAACUCGAGUGCGGUCCGGUGUACAAGCACAGCGCUGGCAAGCGUCUUGCAGAGUGAGGCGUCGCAAAGCAGGUCAACGAAGUGGUUCAGCGACGUGCGACCACAGCGACGAACCGCUUGGCUCGCCAGACGAACGCUGCAACGCACCUGGCGCUUUGGAGCAGGUAUCAAACGAGCUCGUCACCAUUUACUCGAUAGUGUCAAGUUUUGGCAGAGGACGCGUCUCAAGUCACGAGCGUCAGAGAUGAGACGCUCGUUCCGGGCGAGCCCGUCUCUACAAGUUGGUGUUGUUCCCGGUCAGUAAGCAACAACCGCUCUUUUCGGCGUUACGUAUAGGGUAUGCAACACCCCGAAACGACCCGCUACGGAUACCACGCGCGCCGAAACCCCACGUCCACCAUUCCUGCACAAGUAGGGCCCUGUCAUACCAUUCGCUUGUGGAAUACAGCGACCAUGUGGAUACUUGCGCUUCGCUCCUGCUAGCUCUGGGGAGCCGUGCGCACGCCCAGCAUGCCUAGGAUACGGGCGGGAAUACCUCAGUUUCAAUUUUGCGCAGCAUGGGUUCUAGCUGAUCAUCGCGAAUACGGUAGAAGUCGACACUCUUCUCCGCGAGAAAUCGCACGCGAUCGCUCUCUACGGCCGCGAAGCAGACCAGAGAUGCGUCAAUAAUGGUCGGCGCGUGGGUAAUGAUAUACUUUUGACGCUGAAGCACGUCCGCUUCUGCUUCCCGAAACCGACUCUCCGCCUCGUACAUGAGAUCGCGCAAUGGUGCCAAUGUCUUCUCAUCUGUUUUCGCUCGUUCUUUAUCCUCGACGACCGCGCGGCGUGCAUCGUAAUCCUUAGCAAGCUUCUCCAGCCGGACGGAGCGCUCGCGGCAUUCCCGUAAGCGACUCUGGAAUUCUUUGAUGUACUGCAGCAAGCGGGUCGAUCCUUUCUCGCCCGCCCCAAGAUGAUGGUUACGCAUCUCUUCCGAGAUCGUUUUCGCUAGUGAGGCGAUACGAUCAGCGUGCUCUCUUCGCUCUGAAUCACCCUGUUGGCUUUCCGUCUGCUGCAGUUCGUUCGCGUAAAGCACCGUGAGCUCACCGAUACGCACCCAACUCGUCUGAAACUGGUCCAGGAAACGCACCAGUUUGCCAAGUUGGGUCUCGAUUUUGUUCACUGUCUUUUUAUUUUCCUCAUAUUCUUUCAAAGGAGUACGGUCGAUUCGCGCAAAGUUGCGCUUCCAACAGAAACACGAGCACGCCAUAUGCGUAGCUGGUUGUUCGCCAGCGCAGCCCCAGCGAUGCACGUAUCAGUGGGGGCAAUGCGUGCGCACAACCCCAAUGCGUGUCUGCGUGCGCGCGCGGUGCUGUCCCAAUGGGCGAUGCGAGGCGUCGGCGCGCCGGCCGCCACGAGGCCACGAGGCAUCCAGAAUGGUAUUUGCGAGAACAUGGACAAAUGGGAUUGCAGCGUCCCGUUCGCCCUGCGUCGUCACGCCCGGUCGCCGUGCAUGUGCUCGUCUCCGGACGGGUUGAUGUGCGGCCUGCGCGCUCCGAGCGCGAGUUCGAUGGGCGAUUCAGGAUGCCUUGGGUAUUUUUGUUCUAUCCAGUGCAGCAUGCAAUGGAAAAGGUCGCGUCAUUCGGGUGUCCAAGGUAA
Molecule: unclassified non-coding RNA, 2111 nt
Filed under: Cyanidioschyzon merolae strain 10D
Lineage: Eukaryota; Rhodophyta; Bangiophyceae; Cyanidiales; Cyanidiaceae
Description: hypothetical transcript
Source: RNAcentral